UGAAUGUUCCAUGGCAUUCACAAUAAUCCACUGUGAAGCGCUCACUUAAACAUCGGCAAUAGUAACCUCCACCUCAACACCAGGCUCAAUAGUGAUGGAGGUGAUCUGCUUGACAACCUCAGAGGGACUGUGCAAGUCGAUCACUCGCUUGUGCACACGCAACUCAAACCUAUCCCAGGUGUUGGUACCUGCGAGGUCACAAGGUUUACGAGUUAGACCAGUCGCAUGCUGAGAUAUUGUCGAAUAGUCUUAAAAAAGUGAGUGAUUAUUACACACAACUGUCAUUACAACCUGGCUGAUAACUAGACUAGAACCGAUAACCCGUCUAGCAGGCACUAUACCAUGGGAGACAUCGAGCACAUGGGAAUCCAGGUAAAUUAACUUCAACAGGUAAUAAUUACAUUGAAAGGAGUAAUAUUGAUGUUGCGGUUUAAUUUUCAACAGAGUCAAGUCUAGCAUGACAGAUACAGAAAUCAAUCCAUUCAGGACUAACGCCGGCUUUCCAUGAUAAAAGCCAUCCAUGUAGCGAAUCACAGUCACAGCCAUACGAAAUUACAGACAAUCUGAAAUAAAACAUACCUUCCCCACAAGGAGACUUCCUGGUGGUAAUGUGCAGCACCUUGGUGGGCAUGCGAACAGGACCCUUCACUUUGAGCCUCUUGUCCUUAGCACCCUUGAUCAGAUCAG
This 687-nucleotide long non-coding RNA is filed under the name Physcomitrium patens. Its description in RNAcentral is "long non-coding RNA (PPAT_LNC009404)". The record is from RNAcentral. Lineage: Eukaryota; Viridiplantae; Streptophyta; Bryopsida; Funariales; Funariaceae.